RNAcentral lists this unclassified non-coding RNA (230 nucleotides) under air metagenome. RNAcentral describes it as "partial contains small subunit ribosomal RNA, internal transcribed spacer 1, and 5.8S ribosomal RNA". The stretch from base 1 to 46 matches the Rfam family "Eukaryotic small subunit ribosomal RNA", at positions 1786 to 1831 of the family's 1831-position model. The record is from RNAcentral.
AAGUCGUAACAAGGUCUCCGUUGGUGAACCAGCGGAGGGAUCAUUACCGAGUUUACAACUCCCAAACCCCUGUGAACAUACCAAUCGUUGCUUCGGCGGGUCUCGCCCCGGCGCCCUCGGGCCCGGACUCAGGCGCCCGCCGGAGGACCCAAACUCUUGUCUUUAUGAGUAUCUUCUGAGUGACACAAGUAAAUGAAUCAAAACUUUCAACAACGGAUCUCUUGGUUCUG